Long non-coding RNA from Diorhabda carinulata, 2357 nucleotides. RefSeq lists it as uncharacterized. The transcript is spliced from 3 exons. NCBI's taxonomy places the organism in Eukaryota, Metazoa, Arthropoda, Insecta, Coleoptera, Chrysomelidae. The record is from RefSeq and is a predicted model, not a curated record.
ACAAAUUUAAUUAUUAAAGAUACAAAAUAUAGGAGGUGAUAACUAGAGGAAUAUAUUCUAUCAUCUGCACAUGCGAAUAAAUUAUAACAUAACCUAACUUUAAAUUCGGUUUUGAUUUUUUGAAUACUUUUCACUUUUCUCAAACUACUCUGAAUCUGAAUCUUUUUUGUCCUAAUUUUAAGAUGCCGGUAUUGUGUUUUGAAUGUGAGAAAUUUUUUUUUACACAGUUUAACUUAAACAUUUAAGAAACAUUCAUGAUAAAUCAUCCAAAUGGAUUGAAUAUGGAAGUGCAACAAAAUAUAUGUGUGUGGAAUGCAGUCUCUUUUUUAAAUUCAAUGGAGACUUGAGAAGUCAUCUGGAGCACAAACACAAUUUUAAAAAUAAUAUAGUACAUUUACAAGUUUUGAUGAAUUCAACCAAUGGCUUUGUGAAGAACAAAAAGUCAACAAUGUCCAGUAUAUCCGAAAUUCUGGGAAAAAAGUUCAGAGCAAUUAUGAACAUGUUUAUUUUGAAUGCAAACGCUUCUACAAGAAACAAAAUUUAGUAUCAUUUCAAAAAAGGAAACGGAACCUAAAGUCACAGGGAUCUUGCAAGUUAAAUGAAUCAUUUGUCGUCAAAAGAAACCUAGAGUCAGACCAUUGUGAUAUUACAUAUUAUAAAUCACAUUAUUUACAUUGAUCAGAUGAAAUACAACAUUUACAAAUUCUAAAAAGUGAUAAGGAGAUGAUUGCUUCCAAACUAAUUUUAGGGGUUCCAUCUAAAGGGAUAUAUAAGAAAUAUUCAGCGGGCAUAUAAUAUGGAUCUGAAAGAUGGAUUAUACCACAAAGAUGAUGCGACCAGUGUUAAUAUUUGGGUCAAACAAUGUGCUGAAGCUUAGGAUAAUCCAGUGCUUUUUUACAAACAGCAAGGACAGUCAAUUGAGAACUUUGAACCAAGUGACUUUUGUUUGAUAAUAAUGACUGGUGUUCAGAGAAGUAUUUUAAAAGAGUUGGGAGUCAAGUUAUCACAAUAGAUGGAUCACAUGGGCUUAAUGCCUAUGACUUUGAACUUACGACUUUGUUGACAUUAGAUGAGUUUAGACAGGGUUAUUCAGUUGCUUUUAUGUUCACAAAUUGUAAAGAUACUUCUGUUUAUCAGUUUUUUUCUCUAAAGUGAAAGACGUUGUUGGUCUGAUUAAAAAUACAGUUUUCAUGUCUGAUAUCACUCAUACAUACUAUAUGGCUUGAUGCCAAAUAAUGGGACCACCAAAACAUAGACUAUUAUGUUAGCAUAGCAGACAAACCUCGCAACAAUAAAUAAUUCUGAGAAAAAAUCUUGGUAUAUAAAACACUUAUACAUAUAUAGACUAUAUCGGACACUGAAGUAUUUCAAAAAAAAGUUAUAGAACUCACUCAGACUCUCAUAGAAGAUCAAGAUACAAAAAAAUUGGUGAUUAUUUGGAAAAAUAAUAUAUACCAAUAUCUGAGCAGUGGGCUUAUUGCUACAGAAGUGGAUGCGGUUUGAACACUAACAUGCAAUUGGAGAGCUUCCAUAAAACCAUUAAAUAUCAUUACUUAGCUGGAAAAAAAGAUAAAAAUAUUGGAUAAAUCAAAUCAUCAGUUAAUGUCUUACUUACGGGACAAAUCAGUGGACAGAAUAAUUGAAAAAGGGAACGAACUUGAAAAACAACACAAUAUCCAGACACAGAAUUGCUCUUACAUCGAAGUUCAAUUUAAUGCAAAAGGAUUUAUUCACUUGAUCUUUGAAAAAUGACAGUAAUGAAUACAUUAUUACUAAACAAUCGGAAAAUAAUAAUGUGUGUUGGUCUAUAAAAUACCCUUUUUGUAAUAUAUGUAUACACACAUUCAAGUGUAGCUGCAUUGAUUUUUGCAUAAGAACAACUAUAUGCAAGCAUAUCCACUACGUAGCUAUAAACAGUGUGCAGCAAAAUAAUAAUAAUAUACCACUGGUCACCAGCCAGAUCAUAUAUAAUGAAAAUACUAAAAAAGUUCAGGAUUUGAAAUCACAGUUGUUGUUAAGAAAGAAAGCAUUAAGGAAAAAAUAAAAAGUAAUAUUUUUGAAAUGCUGCAAAUGCUCGAUUGUCAAAAUUUUAAGAUGAACAAAUCUUAGAGAUCUCUGGUUACAGCAUACUAAAACAUGCCUGGCUUUAUGCUCUGUAGACGAUGAAAAUAAAAAUAAAUUCCUGGUAAAGGAGAGAAAUAUGAAACAACCAGCUAAUACAAAUAUCACAAAACAGAAGUCGUUCCAUUCAACUAAGAAGAAAAGUAACCAAAAGAAGUCUGCAUAUUCGAAAGCUUCUAAGGAGGACUUUAAAAUAUUAGAAUUUGUUAACUUACAUCUAGCCAAGUCAAACACUG